Molecule: long non-coding RNA, 175 nt
Organism: Rana temporaria (common frog)
Lineage: Eukaryota; Metazoa; Chordata; Amphibia; Anura; Ranidae
Exons: 3
Source: RefSeq, a predicted model, not a curated record
GGAAGUAGAGAGGAGACAUUGCAGGAACUGGCAACAGAGGAGUGCCUCCACCUCACUGCCUGACAACAGAGGUAACCAGUGCCAAGAAGAUUCUAGAAAUCACCAACAAGAUCAUUAAUCUGCUGACAGGAGAGGUUCCUAUAAGGUGUCAGGAUGUCACUGUCUAUUUCUCCAU